UUAGCUCAUAUUUGUAUGGAGUGGGAUCGUUUGCGUACGGUUGCCGCUAGGGGCGUUGUUCCAACUGCAUACAAAAUUGGCUUA
This 84-nucleotide microRNA precursor is filed under the name Bombyx mori (domestic silkworm). RNAcentral's name for it is "mir-2807 microRNA precursor family". It matches the Rfam family "mir-2807 microRNA precursor family". Lineage: Eukaryota; Metazoa; Arthropoda; Insecta; Lepidoptera; Bombycidae. The record is from Rfam by way of RNAcentral.